UUAAGCGACUAAGCGUACACGGUGGAUGCCCUGGCAGUCAGAGGCGAUGAAGGACGUGCUAAUCUGCGAAAAGCGUCGGUAAGGUGAUAUGAACCGUUAUAACCGGCGAUGUCCGAAUGGGGAAACCCAGUGNNNNNNNNNNNNNNNNNNNNNNNNNNNNNNNNNNNNNNNNNNNNNNNNNNNNNNNNNNNNNNNNNNNNNNNNNNNNNNNNNNNNNNNNNNNNNUGUGAACUCGAAGAGUAGGGCGGGACACGUGGUAUCCUGUCUGAAUAUGGGGGGACCAUCCUCCAAGGCUAAAUACUCCUGACUGACCGAUAGUGAACCAGUACCGUGAGGGAAAGGCGAAAAGAACCCCGGCGAGGGGAGUGAAAAAGAACCUGAAACCGUGUACGUACAAGCAGUGGGAGCACCUUCGGGUGUGACUGCGUACCUUUUGUAUAAUGGGUCAGCGACUUAUAUUCUGUAGCAAGGUUAACCGUAUAGGGGAGCCGCAGGGAAACCGAGUCUUAACUGGGCGUUAAGUUGCAGGGUAUAGACCCGAAACCCGGUGAUCUAGCCAUGGGCAGGUUGAAGGUUGGGUAACACUAACUGGAGGACCGAACCGACUAAUGUUGAAAAAUUAGCGGAUGACUUGUGGCUGGGGGUGAAAGGCCAAUCAAACCGGGAGAUAGCUGGUUCUCCCCGAAAGCUAUUUAGGUAGCGCCUCGUGAAUUCAUCUUCGGGGGUAGAGCACUGUUUCGGCUAGGGGGUCAUCCCGACUUACCAACCCGAUGCAAACUACGAAUACCGAAGAAUGUUAUCACGGGAGACACACGGCGGGUGCUAACGUCCGUCGUGAAGAGGGAAACAACCCAGACCGCCAGCUAAGGUCCCAAAGUCAUGGUUAAGUGGGAAACGAUGUGGGAAGGCACAGACAGCCAGGAUGUUGGCUUAGAAGCAGCCAUCAUUUAAAGAAAGCGUAAUAGCUCACUGGUCGAGUCGGCCUGCGCGGAAGAUGUAACGGGGCUAAACCAUGCACCGAAGCUGCGGCAGCGACACUAUGUGUUGUUGGGUAGGGGAGCGUUCUGUAAGCCUGCGAAGGUGACCUGUGAGGGUUGCUGGAGGUAUCAGAAGUGCGAAUGCUGACAUAAGUAACGAUAAAGCGGGUGAAAAGCCCGCUCGCCGGAAGACCAAGGGUUCCUGUCCAACGUUAAUCGGGGCAGGGUGAGUCGACCCCUAAGGCGAGGCCGAAAGGCGUAGUCGAUGGGAAACAGGUUAAUAUUCCUGUACUUGGUGUUACUGCGAAGGGGGGACGGAGAAGGCUAUGUUAGCCGGGCGACGGUUGUCCCGGUUUAAGCAUGUAGGCUGGUUGUCCAGGCAAAUCCGGAUAAUCAAGGCUGAGGUGUGAUGACGAGGCACUACGGUGCUGAAGUAACAAAUGCCCUGCUUCCAGGAAAAGCCUCUAAGCAUCAGGUAACAUCAAAUCGUACCCCAAACCGACACAGGUGGUCAGGUAGAGAAUACCAAGGCGCUUGAGAGAACUCGGGUGAAGGAACUAGGCAAAAUGGUGCCGUAACUUCGGGAGAAGGCACGCUGGUGUGUAGGUGAAGUCCCUGCGGAUGGAGCUGAGACCAGUCGAAGAUACCAGCUGGCUGCAACUGUUUAUUAAAAACACAGCACUGUGCAAACACGAAAGUGGACGUAUACGGUGUGACGCCUGCCCGGUGCCGGAAGGUUAAUUGAUGGGGUUAUCCGUAAGGAGAAGCUCUUGAUCGAAGCCCCGGUAAACGGCGGCCGUAACUAUAACGGUCCUAAGGUAGCGAAAUUCCUUGUCGGGUAAGUUCCGACCUGCACGAAUGGCGUAAUGAUGGCCAGGCUGUCUCCACCCGAGACUCAGUGAAAUUGAACUCGCUGUGAAGAUGCAGUGUACCCGCGGCAAGACGGAAAGACCCCGUGAACCUUUACUAUAGCUUGACACUGAACAUUGAGCCUUGAUGUGUAGGAUAGGUGGGAGGCUUUGAAGCGUGGACGCCAGUCUGCGUGGAGCCAACCUUGAAAUACCACCCUUUAAUGUUUGAUGUUCUAACGUUGGCCCCUNCGGGGUUGCGGACAGUGUCUGGUGGGUAGUUUGACUGGGGCGGUCUCCUCCCAAAGCGUAACGGAGGAGCACGAAGGUUAGCUAAUCCUGGUCGGACAUCAGGAGGUUAGUGCAAUGGCAUAAGCUAGCUUGACUGCGAGCGUGACGGCGCGAGCAGGUGCGAAAGCAGGUCAUAGUGAUCCGGUGGUUCUGAAUGGAAGGGCCAUCGCUCAACGGAUAAAAGGUACUCCGGGGAUAACAGGCUGAUACCGCCCAAGAGUUCAUAUCGACGGCGGUGUUUGGCACCUCGAUGUCGGCUCAUCACAUCCUGGGGCUGAAGUAGGUCCCAAGGGUAUGGCUGUUCGCCAUUUAAAGUGGUACGCGAGCUGGGUUUAGAACGUCGUGAGACAGUUCGGUCCCUAUCUGCCGUGGGCGCUGGAGAAUUGAGGGGGGCUGCUCCUAGUACGAGAGGACCGGAGUGGACGCAUCACUGGUGUUCGGGUUGUCAUGCCAAUGGCACUGCCCGGUAGCUAAAUGCGGAAGAGAUAAGUGCUGAAAGCAUCUAAGCACGAAACUUGCCCCGAGAUGAGUUCUCCCUGAGACUUUAAGUCUCCUGAAGGAACGUUAAAGACGAUGACGUUGAUAGGCCGGGUGUGUAAGCGCAGCGAUGCGUUGAGCUAACCGGUACUAAUGAACCGUGAGGCUUAACCUU
RNAcentral lists this ribosomal RNA (2768 nucleotides) under Klebsiella pneumoniae. Its description in RNAcentral is "23S ribosomal RNA". It matches the Rfam family "Bacterial large subunit ribosomal RNA". Lineage: Bacteria; Pseudomonadati; Pseudomonadota; Gammaproteobacteria; Enterobacterales; Enterobacteriaceae. The record is from RNAcentral.